CAACGGGCAUGACGUCACCUGGAGGACGGGAAAGCUGCAGCGUGAGGCGAGGAGCGAGGGCAGGGAGGGGGCGCGGGGAGAAUCCCGGGAGCAGCUGCUGCUGUCAGCCAGCGCGAGCGCUGCCCCGCCCCUGCCCGGGGAAUUCCACCUUCCCUGCAGUGCAACACAGCCCGGGCGCGGCGCGGCGAGCCGGGCUGCAAGAGCUGCUCAGGCAGGUGGAUGACUGAAGCAGCAGAGAACCUUGGUGUCUGAAGAAUGGCUACAGUGUUGCUUUAGUGGUGGGAGAGCAUUGCAGUUGUUGGUGUGACCCAGGAGCAGUCGAACCGUGGAUGAAGCUGAGUUUAAGCUGUUAUGCAGGCGCCCCCUGGGCUUCUCCAUCAGCCAGUCCUGCUCCUGCCUGCCGCAAGCUGGAGAGGAGCCACAGCUGCUGCUGAGUGCGAGGCAGGGGUGAAGCGCCAAGCCCAGCCGCCUUCCACAGCCUGGCCGGAGGAGGAGGGAGGAGAGAAAUGUGACAAAAAUGGAUGGCACACAGAACACCAAAAGCAGUACAAAGAAUGCAGUUCCUGUUUUAGGCAAUUGCAAGGUCACCAAGUUGUCAAAGAGACACACAGUGCCCUGA
This is a long non-coding RNA of Mauremys reevesii (Reeves's turtle), 619 nucleotides long. RefSeq lists it as uncharacterized. The record is from RefSeq and is a predicted model, not a curated record. The transcript has 4 exons. NCBI's taxonomy places the organism in Eukaryota, Metazoa, Chordata, Testudines, Geoemydidae.